This 651-nucleotide ribosomal RNA is filed under the name Ralstonia pickettii. Its description in RNAcentral is "bacterial SSU rRNA". It matches the Rfam family "Bacterial small subunit ribosomal RNA", at positions 79 to 726 of the family's 1533-position model. Lineage: Bacteria; Pseudomonadati; Pseudomonadota; Betaproteobacteria; Burkholderiales; Burkholderiaceae. The record is from RNAcentral.
UUUCUCUGCUCGGCGAGUGGCGAACGGGUGAGUAAUACAUCGGAACGUGCCCUGUAGUGGGGGAUAACUAGUCGAAAGAUUAGCUAAUACCGCAUACGACCUGAGGGUGAAAGUGGGGGACCGCAAGGCCUCAUGCUAUAGGAGCGGCCGAUGUCUGAUUAGCUAGUUGGUGGGGUAAAGGCCUACCAAGGCGACGAUCAGUAGCUGGUCUGAGAGGACGAUCAGCCACACUGGGACUGAGACACGGCCCAGACUCCUACGGGAGGCAGCAGUGGGGAAUUUUGGACAAUGGGCGAAAGCCUGAUCCAGCAAUGCCGCGUGUGUGAAGAAGGCCUUCGGGUUGUAAAGCACUUUUGUCCGGAAAGAAAUGGCUCUGGUUAAUACCCGGAGUCGAUGACGGUACCGGAAGAAUAAGGACCGGCUAACUACGUGCCAGCAGCCGCGGUAAUACGUAGGGUCCAAGCGUUAAUCGGAAUUACUGGGCGUAAAGCGUGCGCAGGCGGUUGUGCAAGACCGAUGUGAAAUCCCCGGGCUUAACCUGGGAAUUGCAUUGGUGACUGCACGGCUAGAGUGUGUCAGAGGGAGGUAGAAUUCCACGUGUAGCAGUGAAAUGCGUAGAGAUGUGGAGGAAUACCGAUGGCGAAAGCAGCC